RNAcentral lists this ribosomal RNA (531 nucleotides) under Vishniacozyma victoriae. Its description in RNAcentral is "partial large subunit ribosomal RNA". It matches the Rfam family "Eukaryotic large subunit ribosomal RNA", at positions 104 to 625 of the family's 3401-position model. Lineage: Eukaryota; Fungi; Basidiomycota; Tremellomycetes; Tremellales; Bulleribasidiaceae. The record is from RNAcentral.
UGAGCUCAAAUUUAAAAUCUGGCGUCUUUCAGGCGUCCGAGUUGUAAUCUAUAGAGGCGUUUUCCGCGCCGGACCGCGUCCAAGUCUCUUGGAAUAGAGUAUCAAAGAGGGUGACAAUCCCGUACUUGACGCGACAACCGGUGCUCUGUGAUACGUUCUCAAUGAGUCGAGUUGUUUGGGAAUGCAGCUCUAAAUGGGUGGUAAAUUCCAUCUAAGGCUAAAUAUUGGCGAGAGACCGAUAGCGAACAAGUACCGUGAGGGAAAGAUGAAAAGCACUUUGGAAAGAGAGUUAAACAGCACGUGAAAUUGUUAAAAGGGAAACGAUUGAAGUCAGUCGUGUGAAAGGUAUUCAGCCGUCUCUGGCGGUGUAUUUGCCUUUCACGGGUCAACAUCAGUUUGAUCCGGUAGAAAAAGGCGGGAGGAAGGUGGCACCCUCGGGUGUGUUAUAGCCUCCUGUCAUAUGUGCCGGACCAGACUGAGGAACGCAGCUUGCCGCAAGGCCGGGGUUCGCCCACGUACAAGCUUAGGAUG